CCUGGGGAGUACGGCCGCAAGGUUAAAACUCAAAUGAAUUGACGGGGGCCCGCACAAGCGGUGGAGCAUGUGGUUUAAUUCGAUGCAACGCGAAGAACCUUACCUGGUCUUGACAUCCACAGAACUUAGCAGAGAUGCUUUGGUGCCUUCGGGAACUGUGAGACAGGUGCUGCAUGGCUGUCGUCAGCUCGUGUUGUGAAAUGUUGGGUUAAGUCCCGCAACGAGCGCAACCCUUAUCCUUUGUUGCCAGCGGUCAGGCCGGGAACUCAAAGGAGACUGCCAGUGAUAAACUGGAGGAAGGUGGGGAUGACGUCAAGUCAUCAUGGCCCUUACGACCAGGGCUACACACGUGCUACAAUGGCAUAUACAAAGAGAAGCGACC
Molecule: ribosomal RNA, 382 nt
Filed under: Klebsiella pneumoniae
Lineage: Bacteria; Pseudomonadati; Pseudomonadota; Gammaproteobacteria; Enterobacterales; Enterobacteriaceae
Description: bacterial SSU rRNA
Rfam family: Bacterial small subunit ribosomal RNA
Source: RNAcentral